GUACACGCUGUGACUAGCAUAUCAAUAAGCGGAGGAAAAGAAACUAACAAGGAUUCCCCUAGUAACGGCGAGUGAAGCGGGAAGAGCUCAAAUUUGAAAUCUUAAAGGGUUUCCCUUUACGAAUUGUAGUUUAAAGAAGUGUUUUCUGUUGAGGUUUUGGUAAAAGUUCUUUGGAAUAGGACAUCAUAGAGGGUGAGAAUCCCGUAUUUGACCUUUACUUUCAACUUUGUGAUACACUUUCAAAGAGUCGGAUUGUUUGGGAAUGCAGUCCAAAACUGGGUGGUAAAUUUCAUCUAAAGCUAAAUAUUGGCGAGAGACCGAUAGCGAACAAGUACCGUGAGGGAAAGAUGAAAAGAACUUUGAAAAGAGAGUUAAACAGUACGUGAAAUUGUCAAAAGGGAAGCGUUUGACACCAGUGUUGUUUUUCUGAAAAUCAAUUAAAGAACUGUUUAUGCUAAGCUGUUUAGACUUUAUCAGCUAUCUGUUUAGUUUUGAGCUUUUCCUUUAAUGCACUUUUCAGUUAACAAGUCAACAUCAAUUUCUUUUGCUGUAAAAAAGCUUGAGGAAGGUGGCUUGAGAUUCGUCUUAAGUGUUUAUAGCCUCUUGCCUAUGCAGUCGGAGAGAUUGAGGUCUGCAGCGUAGAUCCUUCGGGGCUAAAUGCAUUUGUGCUAAGUUAUAGCAUUUUAUAGACAACUUGUUGACUAUGAUUUGUCUUGUAGCUUACUCGCUUAUGUCAUUUUACCUACGCUUAGGAUGUUGAAGAUGUAGCACAUCAU
This 776-nucleotide ribosomal RNA is filed under the name uncultured Neocallimastigales. Its description in RNAcentral is "partial large subunit ribosomal RNA". It matches the Rfam family "Eukaryotic large subunit ribosomal RNA", at positions 22 to 635 of the family's 3401-position model. The record is from RNAcentral. Lineage: Eukaryota; Fungi; Neocallimastigomycota; Neocallimastigomycetes; Neocallimastigales.